This 431-nucleotide ribosomal RNA is filed under the name uncultured bacterium. RNAcentral describes it as "partial 16S ribosomal RNA". It matches the Rfam family "Bacterial small subunit ribosomal RNA", at positions 29 to 507 of the family's 1533-position model. The record is from RNAcentral.
AACGAACGCUGGCGGCAGGCCUAACACAUGCAAGUCGAGCGCCCCGCAAGGGGAGCGGCGGACGGGUGAGUAACGCGUGGGAAUAUGCCCUUUGCUACGGAAUAGUCUCGGGAAACUGGGGGUAAUACCGUAUACGCCCUUUGGGGGAAAGAUUUAUCGGCGAAGGAUUAGCCCGCGUUGGAUUAGGUAGUUGGUGGGGUAAUGGCCUACCAAGCCGACGAUCCAUAGCUGGUUUGAGAGGAUGAGCAGCCACACUGGGACUGAGACACGGCCCAGACUCCUACGGGAGGCAGCAGUGGGGAAUCUUAGACAAUGGGGGCAACCCUGAUCUAGCCAUGCCGCGUGAGUGAUGAAGGCCUUAGGGUUGUAAAGCUCUUUCAGCUGGGAAGAUAAUGACGGUACCAGCAGAAGAAGCCCCGGCUAACUCCGUG